Molecule: ribosomal RNA, 399 nt
Filed under: Pinna muricata
Lineage: Eukaryota; Metazoa; Mollusca; Bivalvia; Pterioida; Pinnidae
Description: partial 16S ribosomal RNA
Rfam family: Bacterial large subunit ribosomal RNA
Source: RNAcentral
UCGCCAGUAGAAAAUUAUUGAUGGUAGUGCCUGCUCAAUGCCCAAGGGGUAAAUAGCCGCUGUAUUAUGACGGUGCUAAGGUAGCGAAAUUCCUAGCCUCUUAAUUAGAGGCCUGCAUGAAUGGCUUGACGAGCGCUCUGCUGUCUCCUUUUCGUGUUUUUGAAAUUAACUUUUGUGUGCAAAGGCACAAAUGGCUGAGUUAGACGAAAAGACCCUGUGCAUCUUCACUGAGACAAAAGAAUAUUUUGUUUCUUAGUUUAGCUGGGGCAGCUGGGGAAAAACUAAAAUUUCCUUAUUUUUUUAUUACUGAUGGGUUUAGAUCCAGUUCCGUUGAUAGGUAUUGAUAAGUAGAAAAGUUACGCCAGGGAUAACAGCGUUAUCCUUCCGUGGAGGCCUUAU